Molecule: ribosomal RNA, 805 nt
Filed under: uncultured Verrucomicrobiota bacterium
Lineage: Bacteria; Pseudomonadati; Verrucomicrobiota
Description: bacterial SSU rRNA
Rfam family: Bacterial small subunit ribosomal RNA
Source: RNAcentral
AUUUCAGGUAGCAAUAUUUUGAAGUCGGAGCGGCGCAAGGGUGCGUAACACGUGGGUAAUCUGCCAUGAAGUUUGGGAUAACUCGCUGAAAGGCGAGCUAAUACCGGAUGUGAAAAUUGAAAGGCAUCUUUUAAUUUUCAAAGCUGGGGACCGUAAGGCCUGGCGCUUCUUGAUGAGCCCGCGGCCUAUCAGCUAGUUGGUGAGGUAACGGCUCACCAAGGCUAAGACGGGUAGCUGGUCUGAGAGGACGACCAGCCACACUGGAACUGAGACACGGUCCAGACACCUACGGGUGGCAGCAGUCGAGAAUUUUUCACAAUGGGCGCAAGCCUGAUGGAGCGACGCCGCGUGGGGGAUGAAUGGCUUCGGCCCGUAAACCCCUGUCAUUCGCGAUCAACCCUUAUUAUUUAAAAGAUGAUAAGCUGAUAGUAGCGGAAGAGGAAGGGACGGCUAACUCUGUGCCAGCAGCCGCGGUAAUACAGAGGUCCCAAGCGUUGUUCGGAUUCACUGGGCGUAAAGGGUGCGUAGGUGGUGAGGUAAGUCGGAUGUGAAAUCUCGGAGCUCAACUCCGAAACUGCAUUGGAAACUACCUUGCUCGAGGGUUGGAGGGGGGACUGGAAUUCUCGGUGUAGCAGUGAAAUGCGUAGAUAUCGAGAGGAACACCAGUGGCGAAGGCGAGUCCCUGGACAACUCCUGACACUGAGGCACGAAAGCUAGGGGAGCAAACAGGAUUAGAUACCCUGGUAGUCCUAGCCGUAAACGGUGCACGUUUGCUGUAAAAGGAAUCGACCCCUUUUGUGGCGUA